UACAGAGGGGGCAAGCGUUGUUCGGAAUUACUGGGCGUAAAGGGCGCGUAGGCGGCCCGCUAAGUCGAACGUGAAAUCCCCGAGCUCAACUCGGGAACUGCGUCCGAUACUGGUGGGCUUGAAUCCGGGAGAGGGAUGCGGAAUUCCAGGUGUAGCGGUGAAAUGCGUAGAGAUGCGGAGGAACACCAGUGGCGAAAGCGACUUUCUGGUCCUUAACUGACGCUGAGGCGCGAAAGCAUGGGGAGCGAACGGG
RNAcentral lists this ribosomal RNA (253 nucleotides) under uncultured bacterium. Its description in RNAcentral is "partial 16S ribosomal RNA". It matches the Rfam family "Bacterial small subunit ribosomal RNA", at positions 524 to 776 of the family's 1533-position model. The record is from RNAcentral.